This 231-nucleotide ribosomal RNA is filed under the name Triticum aestivum (bread wheat). RNAcentral describes it as "partial small subunit ribosomal RNA". Lineage: Eukaryota; Viridiplantae; Streptophyta; Magnoliopsida; Poales; Poaceae. The record is from RNAcentral.
AUGAUGCAUUUUAUGCAUUUGGUGACCGAGGAACCUAUUAUAGCUGCAGUGGACUCAGAGGGGGAUGUUUGUCGGGAAAUUGCUCUCCCGGAAGGAAGGGAAGAAGCCAGGUCUGGUUAUACCUCAGUUGGAUACUCUCAGGGGAAAUUGCAUGCUUGGUAUAUGGUUCCUUAUUAUGACAACUCUCUGUGUGUGUACUUGAGGAUUAUGCUAGUGAAGUGUGGACCCUAA